CCUACGGGGUGCAGCAGUGAGGAAUAUUGGUCAAUGGGAGAGAUCCUGAACCAGCCAAGCCGCGUGAGGGAAGACGGCCCUAUGGGUUGUAAACCUCUUUUGUCGGAGAACAAAACCCGGGACGUGUCCCGUACUGCGUGUAUCCGAAGAAUACGCAUCGGCUAACUCCGUGCCAGCAGCCGCGGUAAUACGGAGGAUGCGAGCGUUAUCCGGAUUUAUUGGGUUUAAAGGGAGCGUAGGCGGUCCGUUAAGUCAGCGGUAAAAUGGCGGGGCUCAACCCCGACGAGCCGUUGAAACUGGCAGACUUGAGUGGGCGAGAAGUACGCGGAAUGCGCGGUGUAGCGGUGAAAUGCAUAGAUAUCGCGCAGAACUCCGAUUGCGAAGGCAGCGUACCGGCGCCAGACUGACGCUGAGGCACGAAAGCGUGGGGAUCGAACAGGAUUAGAUACCCCUGUAGUC
This 459-nucleotide ribosomal RNA is filed under the name uncultured bacterium. Its description in RNAcentral is "partial 16S ribosomal RNA". It matches the Rfam family "Bacterial small subunit ribosomal RNA", at positions 338 to 795 of the family's 1533-position model. The record is from RNAcentral.